UGGCGCACGGGUGCGUAACGCGUGGGAAUCUGCCCUUGGGUUCGGAAUAACAGCUAGAAAUGGCUGCUAAUACCGGAUGAUGACGUAAGUCCAAAGAUUUAUCGCCCAAGGAUGAGCCCGCGUAGGAUUAGGUAGUUGGUGGGGUAAAAGCUCACCAAGCCGACGAUCCUUAGCUGGUCUGAGAGGAUGAUCAGCCACACUGGGACUGAGACACGGCCCAG
RNAcentral lists this ribosomal RNA (221 nucleotides) under uncultured bacterium. Its description in RNAcentral is "partial 16S ribosomal RNA". It matches the Rfam family "Bacterial small subunit ribosomal RNA", at positions 96 to 334 of the family's 1533-position model. The record is from RNAcentral.